RNAcentral lists this ribosomal RNA (467 nucleotides) under uncultured bacterium. RNAcentral describes it as "partial 16S ribosomal RNA". It matches the Rfam family "Bacterial small subunit ribosomal RNA", at positions 28 to 506 of the family's 1533-position model. The record is from RNAcentral.
GACGAACGCUGGCGGCGUGCUUAACACAUGCAAGUCGAACGGAAAGGCCCUGCUUUUGUGGGGUGCUCGAGUGGCGAACGGGUGAGUAACACGUGAGUAACCUGCCCUUGACUUUGGGAUAACUUCAGGAAACUGGGGCUAAUACCGGAUAGGAGCUCCUGCUGCAUGGUGGGGGUUGGAAAGUUUCGGCGGUUGGGGAUGGACUCGCGGCUUAUCAGCUUGUUGGUGGGGUAGUGGCUUACCAAGGCUUUGACGGGUAGCCGGCCUGAGAGGGUGACCGGCCACAUUGGGACUGAGAUACGGCCCAGACUCCUACGGGAGGCAGCAGUGGGGAAUAUUGCACAAUGGGCGGAAGCCUGAUGCAGCAACGCCGCGUGCGGGAUGACGGCCUUCGGGUUGUAAACCGCUUUCGCCUGUGACGAAGCGUGAGUGACGGUAAUGGGUAAAGAAGCACAGGCGAACUACGU